GCAGACUGAGCAUUUAGAUAUAUAUAUAUAUAGAAGGAUCCUAUGCGGACAGGGGCCGCUUCGGCAUGAGCUUUCCGUUCCAAGUGCCACAUAAAAUAUCAUAGCAUAUGGGCGCCUCCCGGGAGCGCGCAGAGCUGGCCAGCCACCGUGCAGCCGUCGUACCUUGAUGCUGGCCGCCGGGCUAAAGCUUGGGGUUCAGGUCUGCGGCGUCCGCGGCGACGUCGCUGGAGAUGAGGUUCAGGUUCCUGGGGGACGGCAGGCCGGCGACCACGUCUUCUUCGAUCCCGCACUCGUUCCUCCCCCUUGCGAUCUUGAAGUAGCCGUCCUGCACAGAGGAGUUGAAGAAGAUCAGACGAGAACGAGAAGAAAGCGGGGACGGGCGGGUGGGGGUCUACUCACGUCGCCCCAGCCUCGGUUCCACUGGUUCGCGAGGAGCUGCGGGUAGAAGGAGAAAGGAUUAAAUGGCGGCGAUUCAAAGGAGGAGGGACAAGAAGCCGCGCCAGGCGAGGGUGAAGAGGCCAACCCAGUAGUCCUCGCCACUCUCGCUCGUCCCCCAUCCGAUGAGCUUCACGGCAUGGCCGCCGAUGGACUCACCGGUUAUGUGCCUGUACACGCCCGACUUGUAAUGAGCGAAGUCCUGCGGAGAGCAAGGUUGGGAACGUUGUUAGCACCGCGGCCAGCUCAGUGAUCAGCAGUCGGAUGGCUAAGAAGCAACGAGAAGCGGAGGUAUGUAUUCUGUGAUGGCGCAGCAAAAUUAAUCGCCGAGUCUCUCUCGUCCGCGUCCGAGAACAGAAGAAAGAGCAGAGCUCAAGACGGGAUUGUGAAUGAUACUCGUUAGACAUCAUCAGCGACAGAAAUCUCAUUGGGAAUCUGUAAAUCGUGCUUAGAACGAUGCAAUGAUAUUUCUUGAACCCGAUGAAUGUUACAGAAAACACCUGGCAUUGUCGAGUAACACACGAAAAUCUUAAGAUUGACAGGAAAAGUUAUGAACAAUGAGCUGGACUCAUACGUGACAAGAAACGUUCAGUGCAUUAGAUUUCGAACCAAAAAAAGGGAUGAGGAAGCAUAAUAAAUAUAGGGUAAUAAGUUUCCUUGAUCAUCGCAGAUGAAGAAACUCAAAAGGAUGCGUUCAGGGUCAUAUUAAUCCCCCUAGGGUAUGCAAUGUAAUAAACAGUACUCGCGAAAAAGAGCUCAUUUAAGUCACUAAAGGGUGUGAAUCAACCCCACCUUCUUUUCGAGAAAAAUAUCUUAAAUUUUCAAAACAUAAUGACACAAAUUCGUUAAUUUCUUUCAAUCUGAGGUGAAUUUUACGAGUUCAUCAGCCCACAAAAACCCUGCAGACAGAACAAAAGCUGGGCCACAUUGACUGUAAUUUUUUCCUUUCUUUUUUACGAGAGAAAAAAAGUACCCUAUGUAUUGACGGAGAAGGGCAUUUCCAUAACAAGCUCAUAUUUAACGGACCACAGGAAUCCUCAUGUUCAGCGUACGGCUUUUACUGACCCCUUAAAGCAUAUAUGGGCGGAAUAACGCCCGACGAUUCAAUGCCUCAUAAGUGUUCCGAGGACGGCAAACAGGAGAACACGUCAAGAAGCUCGCAAAGAGUAAAUUAAGAUUUCAGUCGUUAGGCUGAAUAACAAUGCUACGAUUGAGUUCUUCACUGCAAGAAAAGUGAUCGCGAGCUGAUUAUCAUGCAAAAUUUCCACGUUGCAUGACGCAGGUAGAUUAUAUAACAUUUUCCUGCUCUUCGUGGAAAACAUACUCCAAUCAAAUGGAAACUGUAAGAAAAAUAUCGUUGAGCGACAAUAAACUUUUACCACUUUGAAACUGGGCCGGAUAAAUCGGCGAUGUGAUUUUUUUAAAAAAGGAAUUUUAAAAGGAGCUAGUCGCUUGCAAUUACCUCAUAAACAGUGAAGGCAACUUCCACUGGACCGUUCUUAUAAAGUUCAGCCAUGAUAUCAUACUGAUCGAAGCUCACUUUGUAUGCAUUGACACUGAAGUGUUUGGACUCCGGCCAUACUUGGUUCCCGGACUUGCAUUUCUUUUCACACGUUGGGGUUGGAUACAACGGUUCGCAACCAGGAUGGGAGCAUCCGAUCUGGUCAAAGUAAGGAUCGCACUACAAAAACAGAGACCAUUCCAUGGUGAGUGGAUCAAGUGUCAGAUCCCCUCCAGUCCAACAGGAGGACGAGUUGAAAAACCCAGCAAAGAGGGUUCCACUCUACAGUCAUUCCAGUCGAGGCCCAGCGGAAGAACUUAGAGAAAGUGGCCAAAAUUAUAUACGAGGGCAAAGGUGAAGAAUAAAUAUCUUAGGCUUGCCCCAAU
Molecule: long non-coding RNA, 2322 nt
Filed under: Spirodela polyrhiza (greater duckweed)
Lineage: Eukaryota; Viridiplantae; Streptophyta; Magnoliopsida; Alismatales; Araceae
Description: long non-coding RNA (SPOL_LNC001911)
Source: RNAcentral